RNAcentral lists this ribosomal RNA (468 nucleotides) under uncultured bacterium. Its description in RNAcentral is "partial 16S ribosomal RNA". It matches the Rfam family "Bacterial small subunit ribosomal RNA", at positions 28 to 507 of the family's 1533-position model. The record is from RNAcentral.
GACGAACGCUGGCGGCGUGCUUAACACAUGCAAGUCGAACGGAAAGGCCCUGCUUUUGUGGGGUGCUCGAGUGGCGAACGGGUGAGUAACACGUGAGUAACCUGCCCUUGACUUUGGGAUAACUUCAGGAAACUGGGGCUAAUACCGGAUAGGAGCUCCUGCUGCAUGGUGGGGGUUGGAAAGUUUCGGCGGUUGGGGAUGGACUCGCGGCUUAUCAGCUUGUUGGUGGGGUAGUGGCUUACCAAGGCUUUGACGGGUAGCCGGCCUGAGAGGGUGACCGGCCACAAUGGGACUGAGAGACGGCCCAGACUCCUACGGGAGGCAACAGUGGGGAAUAUUGCACAAUGGGCGGAAGCCUGAUGCAGCAACGCCGCGUGCGGGAUGACGGCCUUCGGGUUGUAAACCGCUUUCGCCUGUGACGAAGCGUGAGUGACGGUAAUGGGUAAAGAAGCACCGGCUAACUACGUG